AAAACAAUCGUCGCACUUGUGA
This 22-nucleotide non-coding RNA is filed under the name Rattus norvegicus (Norway rat). The record is from RNAcentral. Lineage: Eukaryota; Metazoa; Chordata; Mammalia; Rodentia; Muridae.